CCUUAUAAAGCCCAGGGCUGAGGCCAGGCUGGCAGUUCUCUGCCAGCAGCCAGAGGGUUAGGAGCUCCGGCAGUUAGGAUGCGAGGUGAGGCAAUAACAUUGCCUGGCUGCAAGGCUGCUUGGAGUAUCUUGGAGAUGGCAGGCUGGAUCCAGACUCCAGGGCAUCUCAUGGACUGGAUAACCCACCUCUGGUACCAGGGUGAGUGGCAGCAGUGUUAACCCCCUGCAUACUGACCAUCCCACCACUACUUGCCCCACUACCAAAAGGGAUCUCCAGCAUGGUUCUUGACCCAGAAGUUCAGCAGUGAGGCAACCAGCACCUAUGGGGUUAAUGCUUCCCCAGUGCAGCUCUCAAUCUGGAAGUUCUGCAACAAGGUGAGUGGUAGCAUCAUUAACCCCCUGGGUGCUGGCUCCACUAACACAGUCGUGAGGCUCCACAGACAGUUGUGGGUCUUUAAUUCUGUUGUUGCCCACCCCACCACAGAAUGUUCAGCCUCAUGGAUCAUGAUUUAACCACUCAUAGACCACAUGUGGCCCAUGGGCUGCCAAUCAGACAGCCCUGUUCUAAGCAAUUCUUUGAUCUGCUGCAAAAGGAGAGAAAUCUAAUCAGCUCUUUAACUGGGUACUGCGGUAGAACCUGAGUACUUUGUACAUUUAGGUUCCAAGCCCCCCAGUAAAGAUGACGGUAUACAGAAUCACUCCAAACAGCUACAUGGGUCUGCAAAGGUAGUCCAGCUGUUUGUGGAGUCUUUUAUUUCAGAGGCUGCCACUUCUCCCCUUAGCUCUGUAAGCCCAUUGAUGAGUGGUAGCUGGUCAGAGAAGUGAGGCCCUCUGAAACAAAAGCUCUGCAAACAGAUGAGCAGCUCAUGCUUAACUUGACAAUCUGCACAUUAAGUGUCACCUAAAAAGUGUGCAUUUACACUACUAUGCAUUAGGGCCGCCUAAUGCUCGUUAAUUUAAGUGGGCUGCAAACCACCUAGAUGUGAAUAAUCUGGGUUCUCCUGUGUGCCCUGCACAGAUCCAAACUCCACUGUUCUGCUUCUGACCAUCUACCAUCUUUCCCCUUUGUCCCCCCUAGCCCUCCCCCACCUUUCCUCCAUCUUUCUUGGGGCUGAAAUGCAGCUGGUGCAGAUUGGUUUACCCCUACUGAAGCCAAGGGAACUAUAUGGAAUCCUUGAAUUUCCUGCGGGGGGGAGGGUUUACUCUCAAAUGUUAUCAAUAUAAAAUAUAAAAAAAGCAUCCACUAUAUAUUGUAGAGCCUGGACCAUGCCUAUCAGGGUGGUCCACAACCCAUUUAACUUGCAGCAAGUUGUCAAAUUAAAGCUAAGCCACUCAGCUGUUGACUGUGGCUGCAUGCUGGCUAGUUCUUCAUCUUCGCAGGAAGGCAAAGCAAAGUAUCUAGGUUCUACUGCAUAAGUCCAAUUUAGUCACUCAUUACCACAGCUGCUCCCUAAUCUCUCUAACCAUAGACAUCUCUGGAUUAUGCUCCUGAUUUGAUGCCUAUACACUUAACUGAUUUCUGCAAACAAUCCUCAUGCCUGGCUUUUUACAAUUUGCUCUGCCUUCCUAACUAUUCUGUUUACACCUAAAAAUGAAAUUAGGCAGGGACAAGAAAUUAUUUUGUACAGUAACUGAUCUAAAUUGUGACUAAACUGACCUACAGUGGAAGAAGAAUAUUGAUCAAACUGGAAUAUACCAAGAGGAGAAAAGCACACUGCCCUUUACUAUAUAUUGUACAUUAAAACAUAAAGAAUGUGCAGGCUUCUUCGAACAUGUGCAGAGCAUGGUGUACCCAGAGCUUGACUGUCCUUACCCAAACAAAACUCUCCCCUGAAGUCAGCUUAGCAUGGAGGUUUCUAUAACUACAAAUGAACAAACUGUUCGCUACCAAGGCUGCCAUUGUUUUGUGGCAUGAACUGCUUUAAUCAGCUCUUUAACAUACCUGAAAAUUCUUGACACUGAGUAUUUUUCUGUAUAAUAUUUUUCAAGGCACAGUGGUUUUGGAAUAGAAAAUAGGGAUAGAGCAUUAAUUUGGGAUUUGUGCUGACUCAGUCUGAGUUGCAACAAGGUAAACCAGAGAGACUGAUCAUGUGUGAGUUUUAAGUGUGCACCGAGCUGAUUUUACACUGCUGCUUUGCACUGGACAAAACCCUUGUGUAGAUGUGCUGUGCCUAGCGUGACCAUAAAUCCCCAUGCCAGAACAGUCCCAGAUUUUGGAGACCAGUCCUGCCUGGCUGGUGAAAAUUAAAAUGAGUCCCAGGCACAAGGGGUGCAGUCGAGUGUGGAGGCAGAGUGGCAUGAGCUCUAAAAUAGGAAGCCCUAGCAGACAGCAAAUUUGCCCUAAAAUAGAUUAGCUUGACAGCUGAAUUAUCAUUAAAAAGGGGAGAUGAUUGUUAACACUUGUGAAGUAAAGAACAGUAGGUCAUUAACAGGACAUUAACUCCCUUAGGAGCCUGAAUAGUAAUACCAGAGCUGCACCAUGCCACCCAACACCCACCUCUGCCUGCAGCAGCACCACUAACUUGGAAAAGGGGGUGGAGGGAGAUGAGCAGUGUCUUGGAUUUCACAUUAUCCCAUAUGGUCACCCUAGCUAUGCCACUGUAAAAGGGCAGAGGGCUCAAUGCUCCAGAAGGAGGCUGCACAAAUUGAGGAUGUAUGAGGCCCUGCCUACGUUAGAUUGUUCUGGCUUUCCACCACCUCACAACCCCUAGAGUCACGAUAACAGCCCUGUUCUAAACACAGUUACAUUGGUGGUAGUGCUGGAGUUUAUAAGGUACCCAGGGGUUGUUGGUGUUCCAACCACCAAAUCAUCAGAGCAGGUCUCAGUAGCUUGGAAGGGAUUUUCAAAGGCCCACAGGUGUCAAGGAUCCAUACAAAGAGAACUAAUUGUCCUUUGUGGCUUUGAAAAUCUGCCCGAUAGUUGUUAAAAAGUCAGCAAUUCUUUGCGCUAGCGUUUCUGGCAUUGAUAAGCAUUGAUGCAAACAGUGCAACUGCCCCCACCUUAGUAACAAUAGGAAACAUUACAGAAGAAAACCACUUGUAUAGCAGAAGCUGAAUAAUGUUAUUUUCCUUGCAUGUAUGUCCCCACCUGUAUAUGGUAUUAUAUACUCUAUUUGUGCAGUACUAUUCCUCUGCAUAGUCAUGUUGUAGAAUCCUAGGUUUCACCGGUUAUUUUGCACUCAUAAUUACUUAGUUUACGCAUACAGCAUAGGUCAAAUGUUUUGAGAAAUUAGCCCAGAUAGGAUCGAGUUACCAGAGACAAUUUCAGCUUUAAAAGAAUCUCUCCUUGCUAAAACUUGGCUGUCCUUGUUACAAACAAUAUCUAAGAUCGUAAUAACAUGGGCACUUGAACAGUAUGGAAUAACUUAUUACAGUAGCCACAUCAGGCCCACUGGCCUCACACUCAAGGAAAUACUCAUUUGCUUCUAUGCCUUCCAGGUGUAUGCUAUCCACAGCUCAGUCAGACUAAAGCAUCUUCAUUCCAUGGCUCAAUUCAAUAAGGUAUUGAUCACUUCAACCAAGUAUUGUUCCAACAGCUCUUGAGGUCAAAGGAAAUCAUGAGGGAAGUGAGCACCUAACAGCAGUGCUCAGCACCUGGCAAAAGCAAGCCACAAAUAUGUCCUGAAGCAAUAACAGAAUAAAAACACAGAAUAGGGUGUUCAGCAGUAAACAGCUUUGGCCUAAUUUAGCUCCCACUGCAGUCCAGUUUUACUGCCCUGGGCAGCAGUGGUGGCAGGGGCAGUGAGAAAGGCCAAGCUAGUUGCAGCAUCAGUGGCUAAGCCAAUAAUGGCAGUUUCUGCAGUUCUUGUGCCUUUCUAAAUAGACUCCUGAGGCUGGUACCCCUGUUGCUCACCCUCCCAUUACUCUACUGGUGGAAGCAGACCUUUUUAACUUUUUAGACUUUCCUAAUUUUCUAGCUUUUAUUAGAGUGCAGGCUUUUUGUGUAGGAUUUAUUACCUGAGCACAACAGGCCUCUAUUCUUGGUUGGUUCAUAGGUAUGACUCUAAUAAGCAUGAAUAAUAUCAAUUAGAAUAAUAAUUUUUAAAAUUCUACCCAUGCUACACAUUUGUAGCUUUAAUCUUAUGCUAUUGGUAGUAACUGAGCUACAUUGUACCUAGGGACAAAAACUGGAUCCAAGCUAAACAAGUUUCUCCUUUAGAAAGACAAUUAACAGCUGGUCUCUGUGGAGCCUUUAUCACAAAAUCAAUAGCAGUCAGUUCUGAUUUGCCUUGUUCUUCUUUACUCUGCAAAGCUUUUGUUGUUUAUAAAAAUGUUUAUAAGGCUGGUGGUUGCAUUGCACUUAAAACAAUGGGGACUGGCUGGUAAAAACAAUCAGAUUUAAGGCUAUGAUAACAGGGAGCGUCUACACGAGUGCUUUAAUACACAGUAGCCUAUUUUACUGCACAUUAAAGCAGCAUGUAAAAAACAUGCUAUUAUGUUAAUGCAUGGUAAAAUAGACUACUGUGCAUUGUGUCACCUAAAAAGCAUGUACUUUCGCUACUGUGCAUUAGUUCAGCCUAAUGUGCAUUAAUAUAGUACCUCACAUUGGAGGCACUAAAUUUAAUGUGCAUUAGGAAAAGCACAUUAAUGCACAUGUAGACAUUCCCACAGAUAUGUGAAACCUAGUAGAUUUAUUUUGUGAAGAGUUUGACAGAUCUUUGGUUUGGGUCAUUGACUUGUAUCUCCUUGAAGUAUCAGGGGCAUGUAAAAAAUACAAAAAUAUGAAUUGAAACUCAGUUCAAGCUACCAAGUUUCACUUCCAAUUUUGUAGAAAUUAUGUGAUUUUUGGUUUUGGUUUUGGCUCAGAAUCAUAACCUAGGACAUGUCCUGUCUUAGGUUCCACAUUGAUUGGCACAAUAAGCCCAGUGCUGCUAGGAUGAUUGUAAUGAAGUACUGGUGAGUCCUUUGUAGGCAUACUGUAUCCACUUCUGGAGCUCACACAUGAAAAAAGAACUUAGAAGAAUUUGAGAGGGGUCUAAGAAGAGUCACAAAAAUAAUUUUAUGUCCAAAAAAAACUAGCUUCCUCAAACAGGUUAAAUCCUUUUAUCAAAAAGGAAGGUAAAGAAAAACUUUAGUUAUGGUCUGUAAGUACCUAUGAGGAGAGGAAUGGAAUUUCUGAUACUAAUUAGAUCUUUAUUUUGGCUUAGAAAAUCAUAACAGUAUAUAGUUAUUGGCUGCAGCAAGAACAUUUCCUUGAUAUGAUGAUGCCAGUCUUCCAGUAUAUGGAGAAGCCAUCAGUGAAUCCAUAGAUGACCGAGGAGACAAAUCUGAGAUCUGCAUAUUCAACUGCUGACGUGACAUAUAGUUCAGGGAGGAAGGAGCAGAGCCUGAUGAUGACAGGUCACAACUUUUCCCUCUUUUGUCUGUUUGCCUCCAUUUAGGCAAGUGUGUUUGAAAUAAUAGAUGUGUUGUCAUACAUCAUGGCACCGUUGGGGAUGAUUCAGUGUUUGAGUCUUCCAGGUACUGACAUUGAUUAAUAUCACAUUUCUUCAGAUUGACUUUCAAGGAGUCCUUGAAUCUCUUCUUUUGCCCAGCUCUAGAGUGGUGACCAUCAGUGAGCUGGAGUAUAGAAUCUGUUCUUAGAGCUGAUUGUCAGACAUCCUGAUGACAUGCCUGUCCAAUGGAGCUGGUGCCAUAUAAAUAUGGCUUCAAAGGUACUUGUGUUUCCUUGAUCCAGAACCCUGGAGUUUGUUCUUCUGUAGCAGAAAGCCCCCUUUUCUCUUGCCUGCAUUUGCUCUCCCCUCUUUGGAUAUGUUUCUCUUUUUCUACCUUUUCUUCCUUCUUCUCUCUUUCACUUUAAGAUAAGGAAUUGUGUUUUAAAAUUUGUGUGUGCGCAUUUUGUAUCUCCCCUUGUAGUUUGGUAUUUUUAUCUGUUUGUGUGCCAUGGCAUUUGUAGCUUAUAUUUUAUACUCCUCACCUUUCAACUUUCAACUGAAUAUGUUUAGUUUCAUAAGUAAAUUAUACAUUGUAACAAUGUUAACAAGGGCAGGAAUCAAACUGCUCUUCCCUGUUUCAGGCUGGCCUCUAAAAGAGUGAGUGAAUCAGUGAUUGAAUGUGUAACAUAGUAGCAGGCAGCAAUUAUCACCUGGAAGCUGCAGAUCAACCAACGGAAGAACUCAAUAGAAGACAAUGUAACAACCGGGAAAUCUCUAAACGUCACUGAUCAAGGGCUAGAAGCCCUGGCCUGAGUUAAUCAACGCCAGAGACCAACUUUUGGGCUGAGUAUCUCCAGAUCAACUGCUCCCAGAGCCCUAUUCUAAAUUCAUCAACGGACUCCCAAACCUGCACGUACAUGCGGACAACCCCUGGAGCUGACAGAUGCUGUCCAGUAGCCACCGAGGGGGGGGGGAAGUCCCACAAGGGUCAACGACCCCUGGAUUGGGCAAACCUGAAACCUGGGGAGUCACCAAAGUCUGCCAGGGACAGAUAAAAGGCAGUGAAAAGUGACCCUCAGUGGCACUCUCUUGAUCUCGAUCUCCAACUCAACCAGACUUGUCCAGCCAGAAGGACCAGCCAGCGACCCCCUUCUGGAGAACAACACCAUGCUGAAAGAAGCCUCGACUGGCCAUCGGCGGCAGACUCCAGCGCUUGUAGGAUAGGUAUACCUGACUCUGUAGCCUGCUACUGUGGGUGUGUGUAUGUGUGUGCAUGUGUGUGUGUGUGUGUGGGGACCAGCCCCAAGGUUUAUGAUUACAGUAUUUCAAUCUGCCUAAUAAACUAGAAUUUUAAGGA
Long non-coding RNA from Alligator mississippiensis (American alligator), 6732 nucleotides. RefSeq lists it as uncharacterized. The transcript has 2 exons. Lineage: Eukaryota; Metazoa; Chordata; Crocodylia; Alligatoridae. The record is from RefSeq and is a predicted model, not a curated record.